RNAcentral lists this unclassified non-coding RNA (711 nucleotides) under Hevea brasiliensis (rubber tree). The record is from RNAcentral. Lineage: Eukaryota; Viridiplantae; Streptophyta; Magnoliopsida; Malpighiales; Euphorbiaceae.
CGGUAUCAAACACCAUACACUUUCUAAAUUAUCGAUAGAUUUAUUGUUUCAGAUGGAGGAGGAGAAACACCACCACCACCACCACCUGUUCCACCACAAGGACAAGGCGGAGGAGGGCCCCGUCGACUACGAAAAAGAAAUCAAACACCAUAAACAUCUCGAGCAAAUCGGUAAACUUGGCACUGUUGCUGCCGGUGCCUACGCCUUGCAUGAGAAACAUGAGGCAAAGAAAGAUCCAGAACAUGCACACAAACACAAGAUAGAGGAAGAGAUAGCAGCAGCUGCUGCAGUUGGGGCAGGUGGAUUUGCAUUCCAUGAGCAUCAUGAGAAAAAAGAUGCCAAGAAAGAAGAAAAAAAAGCUGAGGGGGGACACCACCAUCUCUUCUAAAUUGUUAUUUUAGUUACAUUUUUAAUAUUCGUGGAAUUUCCAUAUUUGGUAUAAGUGUUGUGUCAUCUUAUCAUAUAUCGUGUAUAAUAACAAUAAAUUUAGUGUGAUAUUAUAAAUGGAUCGAGUUAAAAAAAAAAGAGCAAAAGUCAGAAUAUAUUUUACCAAUCUCGUGUGAUGUAAAGAAGGAUGUAUUGUGAUUUCCAAAAUGAUCAUGUGUGUUUUUGACUUUCCUCGCAAUCUUCUGUUGAAUUACCUUGUAAAAUGUUGCUUUUUUAAGUGGUGUAAUAAAUAAUGAGUUUUCUAGUGAAUGGAUUUGUUUGAUU